GGCUUACCAUGCAGUCGAGGGGCAGCAUUUCAGCUUUGCUUGCAAACUGGAGAUGGCGACCGGCGCACGGGUGAGUAACACGNUAUCCAACCUGCCGAUAACUCGGGGAUAGCCUUUCGAAAGAAAGAUUAAUACCCGAUGGNAUAAUCAGACCGCAUGGUCUUAUUAUUAAAGAAUUUCGGUUAUCGAUGGGGAUGCGUUCCAUUAGGCAGUUGGUGAGGUAACGGCUCACCAAACCUUCGAUGGAUAGGGGUUCUGAGAGGAAGGUCCCCCACAUUGGAACUGAGACACGGUCCAAACUCCUACGGGAGGCAGCAGUGAGGAAUAUUGGUCAAUGGGCGCAGGCCUGAACCAGCCAAGUAGCGUGAAGGAUGACUGCCCUAUGGGUUGUAAACUUCUUUUAUAUGGGAAUAAAGUUUUCCACGUGUGGAAUUUUGUAUGUACCAUAUGAAUAAGGAUCGGCUAACUCCGUGCCAGCAGCCGCGGUAAUACGGAGGAUCCGAGCGUUAUCCGGAUUUAUUGGGUUUAAAGGGAGCGUAGGUGGACAGUUAAGUCAGUUGUGAAAGUUUGCGGCUCAACCGUAAAAUUGCAGUUGAUACUGGCUGUCUUGAGUACAGUAGAGGUGGGCGGAAUUCGUGGUGUAGCGGUGAAAUGCUUAGAUAUCACGAAGAACUCCGAUUGCGAAGGCAGCUCACUGGACUGCAACUGACACUGAUGCUCGAAAGUGUGGGUAUCAAACAGGAUUAGAUACCCUGGUAGUCCACACAGUAAACGAUGAAUACUCGCUGUUUGCGAUAUACAGUAAGCGGCCAAGCGAAAGCAUUAAGUAUUCCACCUGGGGAGUACGCCGGCAACGGUGAAACUCAAAGGAAUUGACGGGGGCCCGCACAAGCGGAGGAACAUGUGGUUUAAUUCGAUGAUACGCGAGGAACCUUACCCGGGGCUUAAAUUGCAUUUGAAUAAUUUGGAAACAGNNUAGCCGCAAGGCAAAUGUGAAGGUGCUGCAUGGUUGUCGUCAGCUCGUGCCGUGAGGUGUCGGCUUAAGUGCCAUAACGAGCGCAACCCUUAUCUUUAGUUACUAACAGGUCAUGCUGAGGACUCUAGAGAGACUGCCGUCGUAAGAUGUGAGGAAGGUGGGGAUGACGUCAAAUCAGCACGGCCCUUACGUCCGGGGCUACACACGUGUUACAAUGGGGGGUACAGAAGGCAGCUACCUGGUGACAGGAUGCUAAUCCCAAAAGCCUCUCUCAGUUCGGAUCGAAGUCUGCAACCCGACUUCGUGAAGCUGGAUUCGCUAGUAAUCGCGCAUCAGCCAUGGCGCGGUGAAUACGUUCCCGGGCCUUGUACACACCGCCCGUCAAGCCAUGAAAGCCGGGGGUACCUGAAGUACGUAACCGCAAGGAGCUCCUAGGAAACC
RNAcentral lists this ribosomal RNA (1417 nucleotides) under bacterium NLAE-zl-P745. RNAcentral describes it as "bacterial SSU rRNA". It matches the Rfam family "Bacterial small subunit ribosomal RNA". The record is from RNAcentral.